RNAcentral lists this ribosomal RNA (1243 nucleotides) under metagenome. RNAcentral's name for it is "bacterial LSU rRNA". It matches the Rfam family "Bacterial large subunit ribosomal RNA", at positions 1564 to 2816 of the family's 2925-position model. The record is from RNAcentral.
UGAAUACGAGACGCUAAGGCGUCGAAGUAGUGUAUGUCAUACUUCCAAGAAAAGCUUGCACUGUCAUAGAUAAAAAACGCCUGUACCAUAACCGACACAGGUGGGUAGGUAGAGUAUACUAAGGGGCGCGAGAUAACUCUCUCUAAGGAACUCGGCAAAAUAACUCCGUAACUUCGGGAGAAGGAGCGCCUUAUUCGUAAGGUUGCAAUAACAAGAUCCAAGCAACUGUUUAUCAAAAACACGGGUCUCCGCUAAGUCGUAAGACGAUGUAUGGGGGCUGACGCCUGCCCAGUGCCAGAAGGUUAAAGAAGUUGGUUAGCAAUUGCGAAGCUGAUAACUGAAGCCCUGGUGAACGGCGGCCGUAACAAUAACGGUCCUAAGGUAGCGAAAUUCCUUGUCGGGUAAGUUCCGACCCGCACGAAAGGCGUAAUGAUUUGGAUACUGUCUCGGAGAGGGGCUCGGUGAAAUAGACUUGUCUGUGAAGAUGCGGACUACCUGCACCAGGACAGAAAGACCCUAUGAAGCUUUACUGUAACUUGAAAUUGAAAUUGGACUUUAUUCGCGCAGUAUAGGUGGGAGGCGUUGAUUAUAAUCUUGUGGGAUUAUUGGAGCCAUCAGUGAGAUACCACUCUUGUAAUGUUAGAUUUCUAACUUUGAAUCAUUAUCUGGUCAAAGAACAGUUUCAGGCGGGCAGUUUGACUGGGGCGGUCGCCUCCUAAACGGUAACGGAGGCGUACAAAGGUUUCCUCUGAACGGUUAGAAAUCGUAUCUAGAGUGUAAAGGCAUAAGGAAGCUUGACUGUGAGACCUACAAGUCGAGCAGGGACGAAAGUCGGUCUUAGUGAUCUGACGGUACUGAGUGGAAAGGCCGUCACUCAACGGAUAAAAGUUACUCUAAGGAUAACAGGCUGAUCUCCCCCAAGAGUUCACAUCGACGGGGAGGUUUGGCACCUCGAUGUCGGCUCAUCGCAUCCUGGGGCGGUAGUACGUCCCAAGGGUUGGGCUGUUCGCCCAUGAAAGCGGUACGCGAGCUGGGUUCAGAACGUCGUGAGACAGUUCGGUCCAUAUCCGGUGUAGGCGUUAGAAUAUUGAGAGGAGCCUUCUUUAGUACGAGAGGACCGAGAAGGACAUACCUCUGGUGUACCAGUUAUCGUGCCAACGGUAAACGCUGGGUAGCUAUGUAUGGAGUGGAUAACCGCUGAAAGCAUCUAAGUGGGAAGCCCACCUCAAGAUAAGUAUUCUCU